UGGUGUAUCCAGUGGGCAGCAGCCACACUGC
RNAcentral lists this non-coding RNA (31 nucleotides) under Rattus norvegicus (Norway rat). The record is from RNAcentral. Lineage: Eukaryota; Metazoa; Chordata; Mammalia; Rodentia; Muridae.